AAAACCAGCUUACACAGCUAAACUCUCUCUCUCUCUCUCUCUCUAACCUUAGAUCAUACCUUUGUUAUACACACAUAUACAUACAUAAUAUAUAUAGAGAGAGAGAGAGAUUCUCUCUCCUACAUAUCCAAUUGCCUUAUUAUACAUAAAUAUGUGUGUAUAUAUAUAUAUAAUACCAUUAUCUCUCUUUCUCUUGUUAUAAUUAAAUUUUUAUUUUUAUUCUAUUGAUUAAUUGGAUUGUUUGAUGCAUUAGAAUUCUGGGCUUCUAAUAUUCAGUGUUUUGAUUGUGUUGUUAGGUCUCUUUUCAGAUGAAUGGUUUGAGAUUGUAUGCUUUUUAAAUGUGUGAGCUGCGUUUGUUUUCUCUUGUGUACAAACCCCAUUAAUACUAUUGGUUUCAACUUAAUCUGAUUCGUUUUGUUUCCUUUUCAUACAACACCGUAUGUCCUUGUCGUUGAAUAUACUCUAAACAACCUAUCAAAUUUUGAAUUUAAUUUAAUUCAAGGGAGAUUUACAGGUAGGUCCUGUUUCAGUAAAUAAUAGUCCAUUAAGUCCUACUUAAAAAAACUUUUUACCUGUAAGUCUCAUAACAAGUUUAAAUGACAAAACUACCUAUAACAAAUCAAAAACACAAAAUAAAAUCACAACUUUUCAUUCAUCACAGUUCAUUCGUGCCAUUUCACAUCCUUUACAGAUUUCAAUCUCACCUUCAUAUCGCCUCACAUUUCGUCUUACUUCAUCAAACUCGGCUCAGAUUCCAAAACAACAAACUAGAUCAUCAAAGAUUUUCAGAUUCGAACAACCAAAAUGGUGAAAACAAAAUUGCUAAUGCCCCAGAAUCUGCUCGAAUGGAUUGGUCCGCGUUCACCAAAGGCUACUUCUUGAAUAGAGAAACUCUGGUUGUCGUCCUACUUCUAAUUGAUGCUAGUGUACCACCUCAGAAGAUCGACCUUGACUGUGCUAAUUGGCUUUGGACGGAACAAUAUAUGCUCUUAUCUAAUUUUUAGCUACUUUCCGAUCCUCUUUCUGUCAGCAAUACUAUCAAUGGUAUGAGGCCAAAUCUUGUCCUUUCCCUCGACUUUUAUGCUUUUUUGUGCCUUUAUCUUUCAGAUACCAAUGAUUUUUGUUUUCACAAAAUGUGACAAGAUGAAGGGUAAGGGAAAAGGCCUCAUGAGAACAUCAAAAAUUUUCUAGAGCUGAUGAGAGAAAAUUUCCGGGAACAUCCUGCAUGGAUCAUGACCAGCAGUAGUAACACUGGUUUGGGCAGAGACGAGCUUCUUUUGCACUUGUCACAACUACGAAACUUUUGGGAUAACUAGUACAUCCUAGCCAAACCUUGCAACUUAUCCUCUUCUGGAAAUGGCAACUCCAAAACCUAGUGAUUUUAUGUAUUGAUUAGCCAAUUAAAUUUUUGAUAUCGAAAGUAUCCUCGAGGAAUUGCUCAAUUGCUUAAAUUUUGUGUGUUUUUUUUUUUCUUUUCUAUACUUGGGUGUAAACUCCUCUGUAUCUACAUGCUUAAUUUGUGUUAUACAUGUCUCAAAAGUAUUAUCAUCGUC
Camellia sinensis is the source of this 1553-nucleotide long non-coding RNA. RefSeq lists it as uncharacterized. The record is from RefSeq and is a predicted model, not a curated record. Lineage: Eukaryota; Viridiplantae; Streptophyta; Magnoliopsida; Ericales; Theaceae.